UUUUGGACAAUGGGCGCAAGCCUGAUCCAGCAAUGCCGCGUGCAGGAUGAAGGCCUUCGGGUUGUAAAUCGCUUUUGUACGGAGCGAAAAGGCUUCCACUAAUAUUAGGGGCUCAUGACGGUACCGUAAGAAUAAGCACCGGCUAACUACGUGCCAGCAGCCGCGGUAAUACGUAGGGUGCGAGCGUUAAUCGGAAUUACUGGGCGUAAAGCGUGCGCAGGCGGUUAUGUAAGACAGAUGUGAAAUCCCCGGGCUUAACCUGGGAACUGCAUUUGUGACUGCAUAGCUAGAGUACGGUAGAGGGGGAUGGAAUUCCGGGUGUAGCAGUGAAAUGCGUAGAUAUGCGGAGGAACACCGAUGGCGAAGGCAAUCCCCUGGACCUGUACUGACGCUCAUGCACGAAA
This 404-nucleotide ribosomal RNA is filed under the name uncultured bacterium. RNAcentral describes it as "bacterial SSU rRNA". It matches the Rfam family "Bacterial small subunit ribosomal RNA", at positions 362 to 758 of the family's 1533-position model. The record is from RNAcentral.